This 212-nucleotide ribosomal RNA is filed under the name Babesia odocoilei. RNAcentral describes it as "partial small subunit ribosomal RNA". It matches the Rfam family "Eukaryotic small subunit ribosomal RNA", at positions 555 to 817 of the family's 1831-position model. The record is from RNAcentral. Lineage: Eukaryota; Apicomplexa; Aconoidasida; Piroplasmida; Babesiidae.
AAAAGUCUGGUGCCAGCAGCCGCGGUAAUUCCAGCUCCAAUAGCGUAUAUUAAACUUGUUGCAGUUAAAAAGCUCGUAGUUGAAUUUCUGCGUCACCGUAUUUUGACUUUUGUCGACUGUCGGUUUCGCUUUUGGGAUUUAUCCCUUUUUACUUUGAGAAAAUUAGAGUGUUUCAAGCAGACUUUUGUCUUGAAUACUUCAGCAUGGAAUAA